GCACUUUCUGUCUCAAACUGUUAUAUAGUACUACAACGCACUAUUUAACUGUUCCUCUCUUCCAACCCAGAGGUACUUGCAUUACGGCAAUGGAAAAAGUGAUCCUUUUCUAUAAAGCAGCUUGAAAUGUUCGACAAGUCACUAACGAGAGUUUCUGGAUGUCUGGUUCUAUGUAGAUGCUAACUUCUUACAAAAAAACAAACUAGUUUCACCUAUAGCUAAUUGAUGAGUUAUUAGGAUUGUGCAUAUACAGAAGUAGAAAAUAAUCAGGCAAUAAAGCAGCAUUGGCAAAAAAUAUUCUUCUGUAAUACAAAUGGCAGAAAUACCCCAACUAAAACCUGCUCCAUCUACAGGUAGCAGGACUUUGCAUUCACUUUAAGAGUUUACAAUUCAGGAGACAUCCUGCUCCAAAUCUGAUUCUGUUGCUGACAUGUCCAAGUGCAAGCCUCUGUCAUCUGAAUUAGCUAAAAUGGUUUCUGCAAAGGCGCUGUAAUAAGAAGUGACUGGGAACAGAAACAGAUUGUGGAAAUAUCCUGUGAAAUCUACAGUCCACAGGCUCCUGUCACUGAAGAAGGGAAGCAGCAAACUAACCAGAGACUUGGACGAUCCAGCCAGAGGCAUCAAGAAGCUUUCCCUUCAGAGGCCAACCCUCUCUCUCCCUAUCUAGAAAAAACAGUGGGCUGGGUUAAAAUUCUUCCCCCUUCAACUGAGGACACCUCUUGCCAAAACGUACCAGAAAGUCAAAAUGAACACACAGAUGGAAAGCCAGUUCCAUCUGAGGCAGCAGGACCUAUGCCCAGCAGCCUUCCAGAUACCUUUGGCAAUCCUGAUGGAGAAAAGAUUCAAGUAGACAAACCAGAUUUGACCACAUCAGUGACUGGACCAGUUAUUCUCCCUUUCCCUGAAGAAUUUUCACUAUCAGACACAUGCCCAGGAAAAGCAAAGGAGACAGAUUCCACUCUUGAGCCUUUACAGGCUAGAAAGCCUACCAAAGACCAGCCAGCAUCCAAGUCCCCUCAACCACUGCAAUAAAAUGAUGGUCACAGUGACAGGGUGGUCUUCCCAUUUGUGUAACAUCUCAAAAUAAAAAAAAAAAAGAAAGAAAAAGCUCA
Molecule: long non-coding RNA, 1112 nt
Filed under: Struthio camelus australis
Lineage: Eukaryota; Metazoa; Chordata; Aves; Struthioniformes; Struthionidae
Description: lncRNA (ENSSCUG00000013849.1)
Source: RNAcentral